This 254-nucleotide ribosomal RNA is filed under the name uncultured bacterium. RNAcentral describes it as "partial 16S ribosomal RNA". It matches the Rfam family "Bacterial small subunit ribosomal RNA", at positions 524 to 776 of the family's 1533-position model. The record is from RNAcentral.
UACGUAGGGUGCGAGCGUUGUCCGGAAUUAUUGGGCGUAAAGAGCUCGUAGGCGGUGUGUCGCGUCGGCCGUGAAAACCUGGGGCUCAACUCUGGGCGUGCGGUCGAUACGGGCAUCACUUGAGUUCGGCAGGGGAGACUGGAAUUCCUGGUGUAGCGGUGAAAUGCGCAGAUAUCAGGAGGAACACCGGUGGCGAAGGCGGGUCUCUGGGCCUGACCUGACGCUGAGGAGCGAAAGCGUGGGGAGCGAACAGG